UGAAGCUUGAAGAAUGAUCAAGCAAAAGUGUACAUUGAUAAAUGGACCAAAAACACUACAGGAAGGAAUCCGGUCCACUGAUAAGCCUAUUUUAGAUGAUAUCAAUAGAAUUUAUGGUCAAGUUCAAUUCCAACCACCCAACUCUUUCGGGCUCUAUCCAAAUUGAUCCAAGAUCCGGUCCAUUGAUCGUCGGUGUUGGACGACCCAAUGGGUUUUAUGUUGGCACAAGUAAGAAAAUAUAAGGAGCCCCAGUCCAACCAUAAAUCCUCCGUUCCCCAACUCUUCCUUAUCUCAGUACAUCACCGAUAUUGUGGAAUCCUACUUAGCUC
Molecule: long non-coding RNA, 329 nt
Filed under: Phoenix dactylifera (date palm)
Lineage: Eukaryota; Viridiplantae; Streptophyta; Magnoliopsida; Arecales; Arecaceae
Description: long non-coding RNA (PDAC_LNC008056)
Source: RNAcentral